Molecule: long non-coding RNA, 1392 nt
Organism: Mauremys mutica (yellowpond turtle)
Lineage: Eukaryota; Metazoa; Chordata; Testudines; Geoemydidae
Exons: 3
Source: RefSeq, a predicted model, not a curated record
UCCAUGCUCCCAGCACUGGCUCUGCUGCCCUGCAGGACACAGUCGUCUCCUGUCUCUGCCCACAGCUCUGAGCCUCAGGCCUGGGCAGGGGAGGCAGCUGCGAGGCCCAGCACAGGCAGCAUCACACCCACCUUCCUAUGAGAGCAGGGAUCAAAGUGGGGGAGAGACAAAGAGAAGAAGACCCCCCUGGCAGGGGGUUCCCCAGGGUUUGAGGAGGGAAGAGCCCCUGAAAGGAGGGUGAUUGUGUGACCUUGUUGGCAGGGCCUGUUCCAGAGUCUCUGGUAAGGUUAUAAAAGCAGAAGUUCUGCUGGUUUCUGUAACCCCCCUGCUGAGUCUGGGCUCCUGAUGGAGCUGCCAGCCAGCUGAGUGAGUAACCAUGGCAGCAGGCUGGUUAUGACCAUGUGCCUUCAAGGACCACUCGCAAGUAUGGCUGUCAUUUGUCCUCCUUUGAGGCCUCACAAUGAGCCCCCUGCACAGCCAAGCAUGAUCCCACCCCCACCUGCUAAAUCUUGCACACGCUUUGAGAAACCCCUUCCACCAGAGCUGUCACCUGCAUGGCCUCCUUCAUCACCUCAUUUACCUUAAAAUAUUGUUACUCUGGCCAAAGGGGAGGUAUGAUGGGACCCCCAGGGUGCUACCUGUAACUGGGGGACCACUGUGCCCCCUUUACUUUCUAUUCUGGGUUGUCUCUCAUAAUGCCAUACUGGUGGUAAGCACCAAACCCCUCCAGGUGCUGUUACCACUCAGCACAACUGCAUGUGGAGCCUCAUAUCCAGCUAGAUUGUGUGAAUGCUCCCAGAGCCACUCAUGAAUCACUGAGAAAGGACUCAACCAAAUCCCCUCAGCUCCAAGAAUUGUACUUUAGGAAUGUACCGUCUUGCACUACUCAAGACCCUUUCUUGAUAAAUGCAAGUUUAUUAAUUGGAAAUUAAAUGGAAAGUGGACAUACAGCAGCCUUUGUAACCUGAGCAGAUUUACCAAGCACUUCAGUCAAACUCACUGAGACUGACUGAUGCAACGCACCUUACAAGCAACCUCCUGUGAUGCUCAAUGAUCAGAUGGAGCCAGGGAGUCUGACAGAGGUUGGGCGAUGGCCACUUAACUCCAGAAAUGCAGGCAGAGCUGGAUGCUGUGGAAAAGAUAAAACCUGAUUUGAACAUAACAAUAUGGUCUGAAGACUGAGUGAGAGCCAUUGCACCAACACGGCUCUGGCCUGGCUGCCCUGCCACUAGCUGCAUCAGCAGUCACGGACAGCUGAGAACCUGGCUCACUUACUAGAGAUCCCACAUCUCCAGGGACUCCAGCAGCAUAUUUCAGCAUCUGUGGCAGGGGGCCGAGUAGAGAUUGUCAGGCCCAACCCUCCUGUCUGAGGGCAAGAGACUCAGGAGUAGG